RNAcentral lists this unclassified non-coding RNA (369 nucleotides) under uncultured Laccaria. RNAcentral describes it as "partial contains 18S rRNA, ITS1, 5.8S rRNA, ITS2 and 28S rRNA". The stretch from base 190 to 343 matches the Rfam family "5.8S ribosomal RNA". Lineage: Eukaryota; Fungi; Basidiomycota; Agaricomycetes; Agaricales; Tricholomataceae. The record is from RNAcentral.
GAGUAAACCUGAUGUGGCUGUUAGCUGGCUUAGGCAUGUGCUCGUCCAUCAUCUUUAUAUCUCCACCUGUGCACAUUUUGUAGACUUGGAUAAUGGCUCUGUCAUUUACAAGACUAUGUUAUCAAUAUACCCAAAGCAUGUUUAAAGAAUGUCAUCAAUAGGAACUUGGUUUCCUAUUAGAAACUAUACAACUUUCAGCAACGGAUCUCUUGGCUCUCGCAUCGAUGAAGAACGCAGCGAAAUGCGUUAAGUAAUGUGAAUUGCAGAAUUCAGUGAAUCAUCGAAUCUUUGAACGCACCUUGCGCUCCUUGGUAUUCCGAGGAGCAUGCCUGUUUGAGUGUCAUUAAAUUCUCAACCUUUCCAUUAAUU